This 506-nucleotide ribosomal RNA is filed under the name uncultured bacterium. RNAcentral's name for it is "partial 16S ribosomal RNA". It matches the Rfam family "Bacterial small subunit ribosomal RNA", at positions 29 to 523 of the family's 1533-position model. The record is from RNAcentral.
AGUGAACGCUGGCGGUAGGCCUAACACAUGCAAGUCGAACGGCAGCACAGAGGAGCUUGCUCCUUGGGUGGCGAGUGGCGGACGGGUGAGGAAUACAUCGGAAUCUACUCUGUCGUGGGGGAUAACGUAGGGAAACUUACGCUAAUACCCCAUACGACCUACGGGUGAAAGCAGGGGACCUUCGGGCCUUGCGCGAUUGAAUGAGCCGAUGUCGGAUUAGCUAGUUGGCGGGGUAAAGGCCCACCAAGGCGACGAUCCGUAGCUGGUCUGAGAGGAUGAUCAGCCACACUGGAACUGAGACACGGUCCAGACUCCUACGGGAGGCAGCAGUGGGGAAUAUUGGACAAUGGGUGCAAGCCUGAUCCAGCCAUACCGCGUGGGUGAAGAAGGCCUUCGGGUUGUAAAGCCCUUUUGUUGGGAAAGAAAUCCAGCUGGCUAAUACCCGGUUGGGAUGACGGUACCCAAAGAAUAAGCACCGGCUAACUUCGUGCCAGCCGCCGCAGUAA